RNAcentral lists this transfer RNA (85 nucleotides) under Limisphaerales bacterium. RNAcentral describes it as "tRNA-Ser". It matches the Rfam family "tRNA". Rfam says of the family: Transfer RNA (tRNA) molecules are approximately 80 nucleotides in length. Their secondary structure includes four short double-helical elements and three loops (D, anti-codon, and T loops). Lineage: Bacteria; Pseudomonadati; Verrucomicrobiota; Verrucomicrobiia; Limisphaerales. The record is from RNAcentral.
ACGACUUUAUAUGGCUGCACAGCAUCACCCUUUAACCUGAUUACGGAUCAGGAGGUUGGGGGUUCGAUUCCCUCAGGGCGUACCA